This 573-nucleotide long non-coding RNA is filed under the name Lathyrus oleraceus (garden pea). RNAcentral describes it as "Pisum sativum (pea) long non-coding RNA (PSAT_LNC017663)". The record is from RNAcentral. Lineage: Eukaryota; Viridiplantae; Streptophyta; Magnoliopsida; Fabales; Fabaceae.
CCAAGGUAAGGGUGAAAUAAAUCCUAAGGGGUACUAGGCUAAAAUUCAAAGAGAUAAAAGAGACUGCGGGAGUUGAAUUUACAAAAUAUUUCAUUCACUUGAACAACUCUAUAGCAAUUGUUUUCUCUUCUCCUUCUUCUUUUUAUUCUUUUUUUUUUGAAGGAGUAUGUAUUGACAUGUAUUGAAAUAUUACAAACAUAAUUCCUUUUUUUUCUUCCUCUUAUUCUUCUAUUUUUUCUUCCUCUUAUCCUUCUAUUUUUUCAUUCCUUUUUUUUCUUUUCUAUUUUUUUUUCUUUUUCUGCCAACUUCUGAAAUAUUACAAACAUAAUUAUUCAACCCCACACAACUCUAAACAAGACUCUUUCAACCCUUUGAAUAGAGUGAUAACAUUGUUUUUCACUUCUCGGCUUGUAAUGAGUUUUAAAUAAAAAAAUGAUAAUAGGCUCAAGGGGGUUUCAAACAAGGGAUGCAAUUAUUUUAGGGUUGGCUUUUUGGCUAUCUGGAUAAAAAAACAAAACAAAAUAAAAUUGCCUUUAUCAUAUCAGUGUGCACAAGUGAACAACAACAUCAACA